This 376-nucleotide ribosomal RNA is filed under the name uncultured organism. RNAcentral's name for it is "partial 16S ribosomal RNA". It matches the Rfam family "Bacterial small subunit ribosomal RNA", at positions 527 to 896 of the family's 1533-position model. The record is from RNAcentral.
GUAGGGGGCGAGCGUUGUCCGGAUUUAUUGGGCGUAAAGGGCUCGUAGGCGGCUUAACAAGUCGGCCGUGAAAACCCAGGGCUCAACCCUGGGACGCCGGUCGAUACUGUUAUGGCUAGGGUCCGGUAGAGGAGAAUGGAAUUCCCGGUGUAGCGGUGAAAUGCGCAGAUAUCGGGAGGAACACCAGUAGCGAAGGCGGUUCUCUGGGCCGGUACCGACGCUGAGGAGCGAAAGCGUGGGGAGCAAACAGGAUUAGAUACCCUGGUAGUCCACGCCGUAAACGGUGGGUACUAGGUGUGGCGUCUUUAUCAACGGAUGCCCGUGCCCGAAGCUAACGCAUUAAGUACCCCGCCUGGGGAGUACGGCCGCAAGGCUA